Molecule: unclassified non-coding RNA, 391 nt
Filed under: soil metagenome
Description: partial contains 5.8S ribosomal RNA, internal transcribed spacer 2, and large subunit ribosomal RNA
Rfam family: 5.8S ribosomal RNA (bases 1-122)
Source: RNAcentral
GAUGAAGAACGCAGCGAAAUGCGAUACUUGGUGUGAAUUGCAGAAUCCCGUGAACCAUCGAGUUUUUGAACGCAAGUUGCGCCCGAAGCCGUUAGGCCGAGGGCACGCCUGCCUGGGUGUCACACAUCGUUGCCCCCCCAUCUACUCCUUCGGGAUUGCGGGGGGCGGAUGAUGGCCUCCCGUGCGCCUCGUCGCGCGGUUGGCCUAAAUGCCAAGUCCUCGGCGACGCACGCCACGACAAUCGGUGGUUGCGAAACCUCGGUUGCCUGUCGUGUGCGGUCGUCGCGCAUCGAGGGCUCGAAAAAAUUGCCGGGCUUCGGCUCGACUUUCAACGCGACCCCAGGUCAGGCGGGGUUACCCGCUGAAUUUAAGCAUAUCAAUAAGCGGAGGA